ACUCUGGAAGAUUAAUGGUUAGACCACAGCGCUCUCACCACUGUGGACCGGGUUUGAUUCCCGGGCAGGGAA
RNAcentral lists this transfer RNA (72 nucleotides) under Pangasius djambal. Its description in RNAcentral is "tRNA-Glu". The record is from RNAcentral. Lineage: Eukaryota; Metazoa; Chordata; Actinopteri; Siluriformes; Pangasiidae.